GGGGCCGUGGUCUAGCUUGGUAGGAUGCCGGCCUUGGGAGCCGGAGGUCCCGGGUUCAAAUCCCGGCGGCCCCA
RNAcentral lists this transfer RNA (74 nucleotides) under Thermoproteota archaeon. RNAcentral's name for it is "tRNA-Pro". It matches the Rfam family "tRNA". Rfam says of the family: Transfer RNA (tRNA) molecules are approximately 80 nucleotides in length. The record is from RNAcentral. RNAcentral also lists the same sequence under 1 other name. Lineage: Archaea; Thermoproteati; Thermoproteota.